Molecule: ribosomal RNA, 253 nt
Filed under: uncultured bacterium
Lineage: Bacteria
Description: partial 16S ribosomal RNA
Rfam family: Bacterial small subunit ribosomal RNA
Source: RNAcentral
GACGAACCUUGCUAACGUUAUUCGGAAUUACUGGGCGUAAAGCGUGCGCAGGCGGUUGUGCAAGACAGAUGUGAAAUCCCCGGGCUCAACCUGGGAAUUGCAUUUGUGACUGUACGGCUAGAGUGUGUCAGAGGGGGGUAGAAUUCCACGUGUAGCAGUGAAAUGCGUAGAGAUGUGGAGGAAUACCGAUGGCGAAGGCAGCCCCCUGGGAUAACACUGACGCUCAUGCACGAAAGCGUGGGGAGCAAACAGG